RNAcentral lists this ribosomal RNA (450 nucleotides) under uncultured bacterium. RNAcentral describes it as "partial 16S ribosomal RNA". It matches the Rfam family "Bacterial small subunit ribosomal RNA", at positions 354 to 796 of the family's 1533-position model. The record is from RNAcentral.
GUGGGGAAUCUUCCACAAUGGACGAAAGUCUGAUGGAGCAACGCCGCGUGAGUGAAGAAGGGUUUCGGCUCGUAAAGCUCUGUUGUCGGGGACGAAUGUGCAGUAUUUGAAUAAAGUGCUGUAAUGACGGUACCUGACGAGGAAGCCACGGCUAACUACGUGCCAGCAGCCGCGGUAAUACGUAGGUGGCAAGCGUUGUCCGGAAUUAUUGGGCGUAAAGGGAGCGCAGGCGGGAAGGUAAGUCGGUCUUAAAAGUGCGGGGCUCAACCCCGUGAUGGGAUCGAAACUAUCUUUCUUGAGUGCAGGAGAGGAAAGUGGAAUUCCUAGUGUAGCGGUGAAAUGCGUAGAUAUUAGGAGGAACACCAGUGGCGAAGGCGACUUUCUGGACUGUAACUGACGCUGAGGCUCGAAAGCCAGGGGAGCGAACGGGAUUAGAAACCCUAGUAGUCC